GACGAACGCUGGCGGCGUGCUUAACACAUGCAAGUCGAACGGUGAAGCGCCUUCCUUUUUGGUGGGUGUGGAUGAGUGGCGAACGGGUGAGUAACACGUGAGUAACCUGCCCCCUUCUUCUGGAUAACCGCAUGAAAGUGUGGCUAAUACGGGAUAUUCUGGGUCUGUCGCAUGAUGGGUCUGGGAAAGAUAUUGUUUCGGUGGGGGAUGGGCUCGCGGCCUAUCAGCUUGUUGGUGGGGUGAUGGCCUACCAAGGCGGUGACGGGUAGCCGGCCUGAGAGGGUGGGCGGUCCAACUGGGACUGAGACACGGCCCAGACUCCUACGGGAGGCAGCAGUGGGGAAUAUUGCACAAUGGGCGCAAGCCUGAUGCAGCGACGCCGCGUGAGGGAUGGAGGCCUGCGGGUUGUGAACCUCUUUCGCCAGUGAAGCAGGCCUGCCUCGUUUGUGGGUGGGUUGACGGUAGCUGGAUAAGAAGCGCCGGCUAACUACGUG
Molecule: ribosomal RNA, 494 nt
Filed under: uncultured bacterium
Lineage: Bacteria
Description: partial 16S ribosomal RNA
Rfam family: Bacterial small subunit ribosomal RNA
Source: RNAcentral